AAAUGUGCCCUAAAACCAAUCAUAUGAUGAUACUUUACGGACAUUUCACAUGUUAAACUAAUCUAGUUUAAUAUGAAGAGCAAAGAUUAUUGUUUGAGCCGUCUCAUAUAAAUGUUAUAUGCUUAAACGAUAAGUCCAAGGAAUAUGUGAUUGGGAGAAUGCGAUCUAAAGAAGUUAGAUUCAUGAGACCAUUCUUUCAUAGACACAUCCUAAACGUUCCUGAUCAUAGGAUUGCCAAUUGGGCAUUGACAGUCCGUUAAGAUCAGUACGUG
This 272-nucleotide long non-coding RNA is filed under the name Malus domestica (apple). Its description in RNAcentral is "long non-coding RNA (MDOM_LNC012793)". The record is from RNAcentral. Lineage: Eukaryota; Viridiplantae; Streptophyta; Magnoliopsida; Rosales; Rosaceae.